GCUCCCGUAGCUCAGUGGUAAGAGCGUGGUACUUAUAUGCUGAAAAGCUGUGUAGAUUGGCUGAGACAUGCCAAGGUCGCGGGUUCGACCCCCGCCGGGAGCA
Molecule: transfer RNA, 103 nt
Rfam family: tRNA
About the family: Transfer RNA (tRNA) molecules are approximately 80 nucleotides in length. Their secondary structure includes four short double-helical elements and three loops (D, anti-codon, and T loops).
Source: Rfam